Molecule: transfer RNA, 72 nt
Filed under: Nitrososphaeria archaeon
Lineage: Archaea; Thermoproteati; Nitrososphaerota; Nitrososphaeria
Description: tRNA-His
Rfam family: tRNA
About the family: Transfer RNA (tRNA) molecules are approximately 80 nucleotides in length. Their secondary structure includes four short double-helical elements and three loops (D, anti-codon, and T loops). Further hydrogen bonds mediate the characteristic L-shaped molecular structure. tRNAs have two regions of fundamental functional importance: the anti-codon, which is responsible for specific mRNA codon recognition, and the 3' end, to which the tRNAs corresponding amino acid is attached (by aminoacyl-tRNA synthetases). tRNAs cope with the degeneracy of the genetic code in two manners: having more than one tRNA (with a specific anti-codon) for a particular amino acid; and 'wobble' base-pairing, i.e. permitting non-standard base-pairing at the 3rd anti-codon position.
Source: RNAcentral
GCCGCGGUGAGGUAAUUGGUAGCCUCCCGGCCUGUGGCCCCGGAAGUCGGGGUUCGAGUCCCCGCCGCGGCC